UCAACACAGCAGAUGGUGAUCCAUGCUGUGGAAGUCUCACAUCUCCUGAUUUAAUGGAGCUGCUUUGCACUUUUUACACUGUUUAUUCACCAACACUUUAUUUAAUCAAAGUCCCAUCUAGUUUUUUUGAGGAAUGUGAUGUUUUAAUUUCUCUGUGAAUAACUGCAGUCUAAUGCAACAGCUGGAGUUGUAACAUCUGUCCUGAUAUUGAUCAUGAAGUAUUGAUCAGAAUACUUAUGGUCAGCAGUCAUUCCUGAAGUUUUACAUUAAAAUCUUUACUUGUGUUGUGAACUUUGGUAAGAAGCAGAAACUUUUGCGUUGCCAUGGAUACAUGAGUGUUAAAUUCUGUCCAUGUUUCCAUUUUGGGAAAUUCAGUCCAGUUCCAGAAUGUGGAGGAAUUUAGUCUCACAAUCACAGACAACAAAUAUUAUCUGAAAGUCAGGUUAUUGUUGUUUAUCAGCACAAUACAAAGAUUGUUAGAAAUAUUCCAGUUAAGACUCUAGAAUAUCAUGAUUUAUGUAAAUUUACCUCAAUAAUAUGAAUGUUCAGGUUAAGAUUGUACAGUGAUAUUUAUUAUGUAAGUUUAGCUGAUUAAAGUUUAUGACUCUGCACUAAAAUAUUAUUUAAAUUGACAUCAUUAUUAUAAUAUUUAGGGUCAGACCCUACAGUAUUGAGAUUAAGAAAUCAAAUAUUCUAUAAAAUGUAAAUACACUGAACUCAUUUGGAUAUAUUUAAGUGAGACUCUACAAUAUUAUUUGACACAAAUGUAUCUAAAUCAAAAUUUUAAUAAUUUUCAUGCCAAACAUUUACUGGACUGAUUUAAAUAUUAAAAUCACUCCUUUCUAAUCCUCUGCUGUACGUUCAAACCUGAGGCCUUAAAUAGAAACACACAAGUAUCUGAUUGAAGGAACUUCUGCAGAGUCCUGGUUCCAGAACAUGAUGAUAGAAUUAUAGACAAACUUUAACAAAAGCUGCCUGAGAGUUUACAGGUUUUUAUGUUGGAUUUCUUCAGUAAUUUAAUGAGAGUUAUCAGCAAAAAUCAAGUGUUCAUUUGAUGAACUUGAUUUCCUAAAACAUCCAGAAUUGGAGCUCAUAUCUUUGGCAGCUGUAAAGUUUCUGCUCCUUCAAAGUUCACAACACAAUGAAUGAAUUCCUAAAACACUCUCAAUGCUGGAGAACGUUUGUGAUGCUGAAGCAGUGACCAGUUUUUCUGUUUCUUCUCUGGAGAUGCACAAUGAGGGACGUCUGCAGCGACUGAGAAAGAGUCUCACCACAUCCUGACAUGAGGAAAAAGACUUUAUUGAAGACUACAAUGAGAAAAACUAUCAGACAGCAGACGGCUGCAUUCAAGGCUACAGGAGGAGUCCUACGAGGACGAGCCGGUCCACCUGAUGGCGGCCAGUCGCUGCGGUUCAAAGCCAACACCGACUACAUGGACUUCUACUGGACCACACGGAGGACUUCAAACCGGACCAACAAGUUCACCGACUCCCCGACUCGUGGGUCUGAGGACGCCGCCGAGCCUCGGCCCAGCCGGCCUCCUGUCUGUGGGUGUUUGAGUGCUGAGAGGUUUGUGGAUGCAUGUGAACGUUCUGUGUUGAAACAGCAGCUUUGGACUCAGUAACGCCGGGAAAAACCAAGAGCUCCUUUAUUUGUGACUUCCACUAAAAAAAACUGAUGAAAAUAAGUUUGCCAGGGUUCUGACUGAUAACAGAUUAUUAAAUAAUGAAAAUAACAGUUUAAAUAUUCUUUUAAACAAUCCUUUUAGGUCUACAUUUCCUUUACACUGAC
Molecule: long non-coding RNA, 1791 nt
Organism: Amphiprion ocellaris (clown anemonefish)
Lineage: Eukaryota; Metazoa; Chordata; Actinopteri; Pomacentridae
Source: Ensembl